RNAcentral lists this long non-coding RNA (1312 nucleotides) under Macaca mulatta (Rhesus monkey). RNAcentral's name for it is "lncRNA (ENSMMUG00000063142.1)". Lineage: Eukaryota; Metazoa; Chordata; Mammalia; Primates; Cercopithecidae. The record is from RNAcentral.
AAUGACUGAGUUUAGCGAAGCCAGCCCGCCGGGAGGCAAACUCCCCCUGCCGCCCCGAGGCCUCCUCCAGCCUCGGAGACUGGAAAGCGGACUGCAACGCCCCGCCGGCCGUCGUCGGUGACAAGUGUGACAGCACCGUCCCGGUCCUACGGAUGGAGUCCCAUUCUGUUGCCCAGGCUGGAGUGCAGUGGUAUAAUCUUGGCUCAAUGCAACCUCCGCCUCCCAGGUUCCAGUGAUUCUCCUGCCUCAGCCUCCCAAGUAGCUGGGACUACAGGUCUUGACUCUUGGACAGCAUUUCUGGACCUGCCCUGGGCCAGAGGGGAGCCCAUUGCCCUGAAGGGCACGGCGGAGGGAGCACCACCACCACUCGCCAAGGUCUUAAUAGACUCCGCGCUCCAUAAAGUGGACACAGAGCCAGUGACGGCGGAGAGGGCCCGGCGGGCGCCCACCGGCAUUGGCUGCGCUCCGAUUACUUCGUUAAGCAGUGUCAUGCUUCUUCUUCUUCUUCUUCUUCUUUUUUUAAUUUUUCCCUCCUACUGUGAGAACUGUUCACUUGGAGACUCCCUGUCCUAAUUACAAAGAGCCCUUUUAACCACAGGUCACAGGACUUGGCUCUCUUGACAGGAAAUAAGGAAACAAGCUACCUUCCUGGAAAAAAAAAUUCAAACUUCUACUUCUCAGAUUAGUUAAAUGAAGCUUGUCGACGGUUGGGAGUUGAGUCUUAUGACAGUUGGUUAAUCGCAGUUGGUACAUUAACUAUGUUUUAACCAGAACUGUUUGGGAUCUAAGUAGAUUCAAAAAAUAAGGCAAGCCUAGGCACGUCCCACGAAAAACACCUAAAAUAACCACAAAGUUGAUAUUGGUUUUACUUGCUAUAGGUAUUACAAUACAAAAUAGAUUCCUGUACCUUUAACACUGUAGUUAAGUAAAUUUACAAACAUUAACAUUUUUUAAAUGACACUAAAGCUGCUUUAAAUCCUAGGAAGGCCUCCCUCUCUCUCUCUCUCUCUCUGCUCUUUCUUUUUUGAUUCUACCUUCAAAAUGUCCUCUGUCUAUAUUUUUUAUAUUAAAUAUUCUCUGCAAAGUCUAUCUAGUAAAUAUCUGGUUCCAAGUCUGUGUACACCAUUCUCAAAUAUAAAACUUUUCAAAUGAAGAUAAACCUUUAGUUGAAUUGGUUUAUUUUCUGAUUUGAUUCUUUAAUGUUAUUAUAGAAGAUGGAAUAUCAUUUGCAGUAACAUUAAAAAAACUCUGGUGGUUUUCUUAUUGAAAGACUAUUAUAAUAACAAGCAGAAAUAAAGCAACCAAGAUUUAG